UGUGCACUAUUCUCUUCAGUACGAAAGGACCAAGAAAAUGGGACCCAUAUUUCCAACAAGCCCCCAACCCAACCUGAAACAAUAUCAAAUUCACCAGUACCCUAUCCCCCAAAACCAGGGC
This 121-nucleotide ribosomal RNA is filed under the name Varanus salvadorii. RNAcentral's name for it is "partial 16S ribosomal RNA". Lineage: Eukaryota; Metazoa; Chordata; Lepidosauria; Squamata; Varanidae. The record is from RNAcentral.